UGGCGAACGGGUGAGUAAUACAUCGGAACGUGUCCGCUCGUGGGGGACAACCGGCCGAAAGGUUGGCUAAUACCGCAUGAGUUCUACGGAAGAAAGAGGGGGACCCGCAAGGGCCUCUCGCGAGCGGAGCGGCCGAUGACUGAUUAGCCGGUUGGUGAGGUAACGGCUCACCAAAGCAACGAUCAGUAGCUGGUCUGAGAGGACGACCAGCCACACUGGGACUGAGACACGGCCCAGACUCCUACGGAAGGCAGCAG
This 257-nucleotide ribosomal RNA is filed under the name uncultured bacterium. Its description in RNAcentral is "partial 16S ribosomal RNA". It matches the Rfam family "Bacterial small subunit ribosomal RNA", at positions 96 to 354 of the family's 1533-position model. The record is from RNAcentral.